Molecule: ribosomal RNA, 255 nt
Filed under: uncultured bacterium
Lineage: Bacteria
Description: partial 16S ribosomal RNA
Rfam family: Bacterial small subunit ribosomal RNA
Source: RNAcentral
CGGACGGGUGAGUAACGCGUGGGUAACCUGCCCUGUACAGGGGGAUAACAGCUGGAAACGGCUGCUAAUACCGCAUAAGCGCACGAGGAGACAUCUCCUUGUGUGAAAAACUCCGGUGGUACAGGAUGGGCCCGCGUCUGAUUAGCUGGUUGGCAGGGUAACGGCCUACCAAGGCAACGAUCAGUAGCCGGUCUGAGAGGAUGAACGGCCACAUUGGAACUGAGACACGGUCCAAACUCCUACGGAGGCAGCAUG